This 440-nucleotide ribosomal RNA is filed under the name uncultured bacterium. Its description in RNAcentral is "partial 16S ribosomal RNA". It matches the Rfam family "Bacterial small subunit ribosomal RNA", at positions 339 to 795 of the family's 1533-position model. The record is from RNAcentral.
CUACGGGGUGCAGCAGUCGGGAAUAUUGCGCAAUGGAGGAAACUCUGACGCAGUGACGCCGCGUAUAGGAAGAAGGUUUUCGGAUUGUAAACUAUUGUCGUUAGGGAAGAUAAAAGACAGUACCUAAGGAGGAAGCUCCGGCUAACUACGUGCCAGCAGCCGCGGUAAUACGUAGGGAGCAAGCGUUAUCCGGAUUUAUUGGGUGUAAAGGGUGCGUAGACGGGAAGACAAGUUAGUUGUGAAAUCCCUCGGCUUAACUGAGGAACUGCAACUAAAACUAUUUUUCUUGAGUGUUGGAGAGGAAAGUGGAAUUCCUAGUGUAGCGGUGAAAUGCGUAGAUAUUAGGAGGAACACCGGUGGCGAAGGCGACUUUCUGGACAAUAACUGACGUUGAGGCACGAACGUGUGGGGAGCAAACAGGAUUAGAUACCCGGGUAGUC